UUAAGUUAUUAAGGGCGCACGGUGGAUGCCUUGGCACUAGAAGCCGAUGAAGGACGUUACUAACGACGAUAUGCUUUGGGGAGCUGUAAGUAAGCUUUGAUCCAGAGAUUUCCGAAUGGGGAAACCCAGCAUGAGUUAUGUCAUGUUAUCGAUAUGUGAAUACAUAGCAUAUCAGAAGGCACACCCGGAGAACUGAAACAUCUUAGUACCCGGAGGAAGAGAAAGAAAAUUCGAUUCCCUUAGUAGCGGCGAGCGAAACGGGAAGAGCCCAAACCAACAAGCUUGCUUGUUGGGGUUGUAGGACACUCUAUACGGAGUUACAAAGGACGACAUUAGACGAAUCAUCUGGAAAGAUGAAUCAAAGAAGGUAAUAAUCCUGUAGUCGAAAAUGUUGUCUCUCUUGAGUGGAUCCUGAGUACGACGGAGCACGUGAAAUUCCGUCGGAAUCUGGGAGGACCAUCUCCUAAGGCUAAAUACUCUCUAGUGACCGAUAGUGAACCAGUACCGUGAGGGAAAGGUGAAAAGCACCCCGGAAGGGGAGUGAAAUAGAACCUGAAACCGUGUGCUUACAAGUAGUCAGAGCCCGUUAAUGGGUGAUGGCGUGCCUUUUGUAGAAUGAACCGGCGAGUUACGAUUUGAUGCAAGGUUAAGCAGUAAAUGUGGAGCCGUAGCGAAAGCGAGUCUGAAUAGGGCGUUUAGUAUUUGGUCGUAGACCCGAAACCAGGUGAUCUACCCUUGGUCAGGUUGAAGUUCAGGUAACACUGAAUGGAGGACCGAACCGACUUACGUUGAAAAGUGAGCGGAUGAACUGAGGGUAGCGGAGAAAUUCCAAUCGAACCUGGAGAUAGCUGGUUCUCUCCGAAAUAGCUUUAGGGCUAGCCUCAAGUGAUGAUUAUUGGAGGUAGAGCACUGUUUGGACGAGGGGCCCCUCUCGGGUUACCGAAUUCAGACAAACUCCGAAUGCCAAUUAAUUUAACUUGGGAGUCAGAACAUGGGUGAUAAGGUCCGUGUUCGAAAGGGAAACAGCCCAGACCACCAGCUAAGGUCCCAAAAUAUAUGUUAAGUGGAAAAGGAUGUGGCGUUGCCCAGACAACUAGGAUGUUGGCUUAGAAGCAGCCAUCAUUUAAAGAGUGCGUAAUAGCUCACUAGUCGAGUGACACUGCGCCGAAAAUGUACCGGGGCUAAACAUAUUACCGAAGCUGUGGAUUGUCCUUUGGACAAUGGUAGGAGAGCGUUCUAAGGGCGUUGAAGCAUGAUCGUAAGGACAUGUGGAGCGCUUAGAAGUGAGAAUGCCGGUGUGAGUAGCGAAAGACGGGUGAGAAUCCCGUCCACCGAUUGACUAAGGUUUCCAGAGGAAGGCUCGUCCGCUCUGGGUUAGUCGGGUCCUAAGCUGAGGCCGACAGGCGUAGGCGAUGGAUAACAGGUUGAUAUUCCUGUACCACCUAUAAUCGUUUUAAUCGAUGGGGGGACGCAGUAGGAUAGGCGAAGCGUGCGAUUGGAUUGCACGUCUAAGCAGUAAGGCUGAGUAUUAGGCAAAUCCGGUACUCGUUAAGGCUGAGCUGUGAUGGGGAGAAGACAUUGUGUCUUCGAGUCGUUGAUUUCACACUGCCGAGAAAAGCCUCUAGAUAGAAAAUAGGUGCCCGUACCGCAAACCGACACAGGUAGUCAAGAUGAGAAUUCUAAGGUGAGCGAGCGAACUCUCGUUAAGGAACUCGGCAAAAUGACCCCGUAACUUCGGGAGAAGGGGUGCUCUUUAGGGUUAACGCCCAGAAGAGCCGCAGUGAAUAGGCCCAAGCGACUGUUUAUCAAAAACACAGGUCUCUGCUAAACCGUAAGGUGAUGUAUAGGGGCUGACGCCUGCCCGGUGCUGGAAGGUUAAGAGGAGUGGUUAGCUUCUGCGAAGCUACGAAUCGAAGCCCCAGUAAACGGCGGCCGUAACUAUAACGGUCCUAAGGUAGCGAAAUUCCUUGUCGGGUAAGUUCCGACCCGCACGAAAGGCGUAACGAUUUGGGCACUGUCUCAACGAGAGACUCGGUGAAAUCAUAGUACCUGUGAAGAUGCAGGUUACCCGCGACAGGACGGAAAGACCCCGUGGAGCUUUACUGUAGCCUGAUAUUGAAAUUCGGCACAGCUUGUACAGGAUAGGUAGGAGCCUUUGAAACGUGAGCGCUAGCUUACGUGGAGGUGCUGGUGGGAUACUACCCUAGCUGUGUUGGCUUUCUAACCCGCACCACUUAUCGUGGUGGGAGACAGUGUCAGGCGGGCAGUUUGACUGGGGCGGUCGCCUCCUAAAAGGUAACGGAGGCGCUCAAAGGUUCCCUCAGAAUGGUUGGAAAUCAUUCAUAGAGUGUAAAGGCAUAAGGGAGCUUGACUGCGAGACCUACAAGUCGAGCAGGGUCGAAAGACGGACUUAGUGAUCCGGUGGUUCCGCAUGGAAGGGCCAUCGCUCAACGGAUAAAAGCUACCCCGGGGAUAACAGGCUUAUCUCCCCCAAGAGUUCACAUCGACGGGGAGGUUUGGCACCUCGAUGUCGGCUCAUCGCAUCCUGGGGCUGUAGUCGGUCCCAAGGGUUGGGCUGUUCGCCCAUUAAAGCGGUACGCGAGCUGGGUUCAGAACGUCGUGAGACAGUUCGGUCCCUAUCCGUCGUGGGCGUAGGAAAUUUGAGAGGAGCUGUCCUUAGUACGAGAGGACCGGGAUGGACAUACCUCUGGUGUACCAGUUGUCGUGCCAACGGCAUAGCUGGGUAGCUAUGUGUGGACGGGAUAAGUGCUGAAAGCAUCUAAGCAUGAAGCCCCCCUCAAGAUGAGAUUUCCCAACUUCGGUUAUAAGAUCCCUCAAAGAUGAUGAGGUUAAUAGGUUCGAGGUGGAAGCAUGGUGACAUGUGGAGCUGACGAAUACUAAUCGAUCGAAGACUUAAUCAA
This 2921-nucleotide ribosomal RNA is filed under the name Staphylococcus aureus. RNAcentral describes it as "bacterial LSU rRNA". It matches the Rfam family "Bacterial large subunit ribosomal RNA". Lineage: Bacteria; Bacillati; Bacillota; Bacilli; Caryophanales; Staphylococcaceae. The record is from RNAcentral.